Molecule: ribosomal RNA, 465 nt
Filed under: Vreelandella stevensii
Lineage: Bacteria; Pseudomonadati; Pseudomonadota; Gammaproteobacteria; Oceanospirillales; Halomonadaceae
Description: partial 16S ribosomal RNA
Rfam family: Bacterial small subunit ribosomal RNA
Source: RNAcentral
CCUACGGGAGGCAGCAGUGGGGAAUAUUGGACAAUGGGGGCAACCCUGAUCCAGCCAUGCCGCGUGUGUGAAGAAGGCCCUCGGGUUGUAAAGCACUUUCAGUGAGGAAGAACGCCUGGUGGUUAAUACCCAUCAGGAAAGACAUCACUCACAGAAGAAGCACCGGCUAUCUCCGUGCCAGCAGCCGCGGUAAUACGGAGGGUGCGAGCGUUAAUCGGAAUUACUGGGCGUAAAGCGCGCGUAGGUGGCUUGAUAAGCCGGUUGUGAAAGCCCCGGGCUCAACCUGGGAACGGCAUCCGGAACUGUCAAGCUAGAGUGCAGGAGAGGAAGGUAGAAUUCCCGGUGUAGCGGUGAAAUGCGUAGAGAUCGGGAGGAAUACCAGUGGCGAAGGCGGCCUUCUGGACUGACACUGACACUGAGGUGCGAAAGCGUGGGUAGCAAACAGGAUUAGAUACCCCAGUAGUC